Molecule: non-coding RNA, 81 nt
Organism: Suillus ampliporus
Lineage: Eukaryota; Fungi; Basidiomycota; Agaricomycetes; Boletales; Suillaceae
Source: the annotation of a GenBank genome assembly
UCGGAUAUGGUGUAAUGGUUAACAUUACCGCCUCUCAUUCCUAGUUCGCGGUAGCUCGGGGUUCGAUUCCCCGUAUCCGAA